Molecule: non-coding RNA, 71 nt
Organism: Merluccius polli (Benguela hake)
Lineage: Eukaryota; Metazoa; Chordata; Actinopteri; Gadiformes; Merlucciidae
Source: the annotation of a GenBank genome assembly
UGUAGCUCACUGGCAGAGCAUGGUACUAACACUGCCGGGGUUAGGGGUUCGAUUUCCCUCAGGGGGCUCCA